GCUUAUGGAGGGGGAUAACGACGGGAAACUGUCGCUAAUACCGCGUAAUGUCUAAGGACUAGAGGGUGGGACUUUCGGGCCACCUGCCAUAAGAUGAGCCCAAGUGGGAUUAGGUAGUUGGUGGGGUAAAGGCCUACCAAGCCGACGAUCUCUAGCUGGUCUGAGAGGAUGACCAGCCACACUGGAACUGAGACACGGUCCAGACUCCUACGGGAGGCAGCAGUGGGGAAUAUUGCACAAUGGGGGGAACCCUGAUGCAGCCAUGCCGCGUGGAUGAAGAAGGCCUUCGGGUUGUAAAGUUCUUUCGGUGAUGAGGAAGGGUGAUGUUUUAAUAGAGCAUUACAUUGACGUUAGUCACAGAAGAAGCACCGGCUAACUCCGUGCCAGCAGCCGCGGUAAUACGGAGGGUGCGAGCGUUAAUCGGAAUGACUGGGCGUAAAGGGCACGCAGGCGGUGACUUAAGUGAGAUGUGAAAGCCCCGAGCUUAACUUGGGAAUUGCAUUUCAUACUGGGUGGCUAGAGUAUUUUAGGGAGGGGUAGAAUUCCACGUGUAGCGGUGAAAUGCGUAGAGAUGUGGAGGAAUACCGAAGGCGAAGGC
RNAcentral lists this ribosomal RNA (598 nucleotides) under uncultured bacterium. Its description in RNAcentral is "bacterial SSU rRNA". It matches the Rfam family "Bacterial small subunit ribosomal RNA", at positions 129 to 722 of the family's 1533-position model. The record is from RNAcentral.